This 206-nucleotide ribosomal RNA is filed under the name uncultured bacterium. RNAcentral's name for it is "partial 16S ribosomal RNA". It matches the Rfam family "Bacterial small subunit ribosomal RNA", at positions 568 to 774 of the family's 1533-position model. The record is from RNAcentral.
CGCGUAGGCGGGCUGUCAAGUCUGGGGUGAAAUCCCGCGGCUCAACCGUGGAACUGCCUCAGAUACUGACGGCCUCGAGGGAGGUAGGGGCGAGCGGAACUGUGAGUGGAGCGGUGAAAUGCGUUGAUAUUCACAGGAACUCCGGUGGCGAAGGCGGCUCGCUGGACCUUUUCUGACGCUGAGGCGCGAAAGCUAGGGAGCAAACG